GUAGGCUUCUGCUAGCUCCAUCAGCUCUCCCCAAACAUCAUCUUGCAUUCAGUUCUUCGAUCGUUUCAUUUUGUAUGCUCCCAUGAUGCGUGCAAGCAUGGCUUAGUUUGUUCACUCCCGGCCGCCCAGUUUUCUCAACAUCGUGAUCAAGAUUUUGUAACGUACGUGCGAUUCAAAGAACAUCGACUGAUCAAGAUAUGAUGGAGCUGCUCGCCUAGACUGUAAUUCAACAAUUGAAGAUCCAGCUAGCUAGCAAGAGAUCCAGGCAACAGAUCGACUCAUCAUGCCAGCGGAUGAGGUGAUCGAUAUAUACGUCCAUACACUACAUAUUUGAUACUGUAAUCAUCUACGUAUCAUUCCCUUUCCCUCAUCCAGUGGCUCAUCAAGUUCUUCAGCUCUAUCUCUAUUAUAUAUGUCCUUAUUUGGGGCUGGUGUUCAAAGUGCUCGCUCAUUUCAUCAUAUCAUUUGCAACGGCAACAAUAUCUAAUGCAUGAUGAGUAAGUACAUCUCCGGCCGGCAUCCAGACGCUCGUCAUCUGCUUGUUACUAGCUUGGAUUCUGUUCAUUUCUGCUUCUUUUGUUCUGUGUGAAAAUUAAUAAAUGGAUGCUCAGCUGGUGUGUGAGCUCUGCAUCUAUCUGCUAAGUUAUUUUCUCCAUACAUGCUUGCUUUCCGUUUGGCCGGUUAGUCGAUCUGCUUGUUCGACCGAUCCAUCCAUCGGAUUACUACGUAUGCUUCAUCUUUCUGGAUAGAUGAUCAUACAUGUAUAUGUGAAAACUUUGAUCUCUAGCACCGUUCUGGUGUGGUGUGCUUCCUAGAGGUCGACGAAUAAAUCAUCAGCUUCAGCGGCAUGAGAAGAUCCAUUGGGUGAUCCUCGUGCAGCCGAGUUGCUGUUGUGCACUUGUUUGUGGGUGUGUGUGUGUUCGUGUGAUUUGUCAGCAUAUGUGGACUGACCGAGUUUGUACUCCUAAUUACUUCACUUGUAUGAACAGAAACAAUGAUGAUGAUUGUGAGUGUGACAUAUAUUUUCUAUGCUGC
RNAcentral lists this small RNA (1035 nucleotides) under Oryza sativa Japonica Group (Japanese rice). Its description in RNAcentral is "sRNA Os04g0115600". The record is from RNAcentral. Lineage: Eukaryota; Viridiplantae; Streptophyta; Magnoliopsida; Poales; Poaceae.